Molecule: unclassified non-coding RNA, 255 nt
Filed under: Hevea brasiliensis (rubber tree)
Lineage: Eukaryota; Viridiplantae; Streptophyta; Magnoliopsida; Malpighiales; Euphorbiaceae
Source: RNAcentral
GUUCUUUCAGAGGUGCUGGAUUAACAUUGUAAGGACCGCCAAAAUGGAACAAAGAGAAAGACGGAGCAUCGCUGUUCGGUUUAGCAACAUUAUCGAAACCACCAUUUUGUCUAGUAGAACAAGGUCUUUCCAGAGGAUACCCGUUUCUCGACAGUACAGGUGCACCGUCCAAAUUCUUGGUUUUCUCAUUCAUGCUUGGAACAUAAACUCGAUCCGCAGACUGAUACAACGGCCGCUGUUGUAAACUUAGCAAAG